CCUACGGGAGGCAGCAGUGGGGAAUUGUUCACAAUGGGCGCAAGCCUGAUGACGCAACGCCGCGUGGAGGAUGAAGGUCUUCGGAUUGUAAACUCCUGUUGCUCGGGACGCGGUACCGAGUGAGGAAGCCCCGGCUAACUCUGUGCCAGCAGCCGCGGUAAUACAGAGGGGGCAAGCGUUGUUCGGAAUUACUGGGCGUAAAGGGCGCGUAGGCGGCCUGUUAAGUCGAACGUGAAAUCCCUGGGCUCAACCCAGGAACUGCGUCCGAUACUGGCAGGCUUGAAUUCGGGAGAGGGAUGCGGAAUUCCAGGUGUAGCGGUGAAAUGCGUAGAUAUCUGGAGGAACACCGGUGGCGAAGGCGGCAUCCUGGACCGAAUGACGCUGAGGCGCGAAAGCCAGGGGAGCAAACGGGAUUAGAUACCCUUGUAGUC
RNAcentral lists this ribosomal RNA (431 nucleotides) under uncultured bacterium. RNAcentral's name for it is "partial 16S ribosomal RNA". It matches the Rfam family "Bacterial small subunit ribosomal RNA", at positions 338 to 795 of the family's 1533-position model. The record is from RNAcentral.